Molecule: ribosomal RNA, 708 nt
Filed under: bacterium MI-26
Lineage: Bacteria
Description: bacterial SSU rRNA
Rfam family: Bacterial small subunit ribosomal RNA
Source: RNAcentral
GAAACUUGAGCUAAUACCGGAUGUGCCCUUCGGGGGAAAGAUUUAUCGCCAUUGGAGCGGCCCGCGUAGGAUUAGCUAGUUGGUAGGGUAAAGGCCUACCAAGGCUACGAUCCUUAGCUGGUCUGAGAGGAUGAUCAGCCACAUUGGGACUGAGACACGGCCCAAACUCCUACGGGAGGCAGCAGUGGGGAAUCUUGCGCAAUGGGCGAAAGCCUGACGCAGCCAUGCCGCGUGAAUGAUGAAGGUCUUAGGAUUGUAAAAUUCUUUCACCGGGGACGAUAAUGACGGUACCCGGAGAAGAAGCCCCGGCUAACUUCGUGCCAGCAGCCGCGGUAAUACGAAGGGGGCUAGCGUUGCUCGGAAUUACUGGGCGUAAAGGGAGCGUAGGCGGAUAGUUUAGUCAGAGGUGAAAGCCCAGGGCUCAACCUUGGAAUUGCCUUUGAUACUGGCUAUCUUGAGUACGGAAGAGGUAUGUGGAACUCCGAGUGUAGAGGUGAAAUUCGUAGAUAUUCGGAAGAACACCAGUGGCGAAGGCGACAUACUGGUCCGUUACUGACGCUGAGGCUCGAAAGCGUGGGGAGCAAACAGGAUUAGAUACCCUGGUAGUCCACGCUGUAAACGAUGAGUGCUAGUUGUCGGCAGGCAUGCCUGUCGGUGACGCAGCUAACGCAUUAAGCACUCCGCCUGGGGAGUACGGUCGCAAGAUUA